CCUACGGGAGGCAGCAGUAAGGAAUCUUCCACAAUGGACGAAAGUCUGAUGGAGCAACGCCGCGUGCAGGAUGAAGGCUUUCGGGUCGUAAACUGCUUUUAUAUGGGAAGAUUAUGACGGUACCAUAUGAAUAAGGACCGGCUAACUACGUGCCAGCAGCCGCGGUAAUACGUAGGGUCCAAGCGAUAUCCGGAAUUACUGGGCGUAAAGCGUGUGUAGGUGGAUUAAUAAGUGUGAUGCGAAAUCCGGCGGCUCAACCGUUUGGAUUGUGUCGCAUACUGUUAGUCUAGAGGACGGCAGAGGUAAGUGGAAUUACGGGUGUAGCAGUGAAAUGCGUAGAUAUCCGUAGGAACACCAAUGGCGAAGGCAGCUUACUGGGCCACACCUGACACUGAGACACGAAAGCGUGGGGAGCGAACAGGAUUAGAUACCCUGGUAGUCCACGCCGUAAACGAUGCAUACUAUUAGUAUGGGGUAUCGACCCCCUGUGCUGAGAAGCUAACGCGAUAAGUAUGCCGCCUGGGGAGUACGAGCGCAAGCUUAAAACUCAAAGGAAUUGACGG
RNAcentral lists this ribosomal RNA (563 nucleotides) under uncultured bacterium. RNAcentral's name for it is "bacterial SSU rRNA". It matches the Rfam family "Bacterial small subunit ribosomal RNA", at positions 338 to 916 of the family's 1533-position model. The record is from RNAcentral.